UACGGGGGGGGCAAGCGUUGUUCGGAAUUACUGGGCGUAAAGCGCGUGUAGGCGGAAGCGAAAGUCCGGUGUGAAAGCCCCCCGCUCAACGGGGGAAGGUCGCUGGAAACUGCGCUGCUUGAGGGCGGCAGAGGGAAGUGGAAUUGCUGGUGUAGCGGUGAAGUGCGUAGAGAUCAGCAGGAACACCCGUGGCGAAGGCGGCUUCCUGGGCCGCGCCUGACGCUGAGACGCGAAAGCGUGGGGAGCGAACGGG
This 253-nucleotide ribosomal RNA is filed under the name uncultured bacterium. Its description in RNAcentral is "partial 16S ribosomal RNA". It matches the Rfam family "Bacterial small subunit ribosomal RNA", at positions 524 to 776 of the family's 1533-position model. The record is from RNAcentral.